This 301-nucleotide ribosomal RNA is filed under the name uncultured bacterium. Its description in RNAcentral is "partial 16S ribosomal RNA". It matches the Rfam family "Bacterial small subunit ribosomal RNA", at positions 509 to 807 of the family's 1533-position model. The record is from RNAcentral.
CAGCCGCCGCGGUAAUACGUAGGGUGCAAGCGUUAAUCGGAAUUACUGGGCGUAAAGCGUGCGCAGGCGGUUCGCUAAGACAGAUGUGAAAUCCCCGGGCUUAACCUGGGAACUGCAUUUGUGACUGGCGGGCUAGAGUAUGGCAGAGGGGGGUAGAAUUCCACGUGUAGCAGUGAAAUGCGUAGAGAUGUGGAGGAAUACCGAUGGCGAAGGCAGCCCCCUGGGCCAAUACUGACGCUCAUGCACGAAAGCGUGGGGAGCAAACAGGAUUAGAUACCCGCGUAGUCCCUGUCUCUUAUAC